RNAcentral lists this ribosomal RNA (314 nucleotides) under uncultured Planctomycetota bacterium. RNAcentral's name for it is "bacterial SSU rRNA". It matches the Rfam family "Bacterial small subunit ribosomal RNA", at positions 29 to 351 of the family's 1533-position model. Lineage: Bacteria; Pseudomonadati; Planctomycetota. The record is from RNAcentral.
AAUGAACGUUGGCGGCGUGGAUUAGGCAUGCAAGUCGCGCGACAAGGUUGCUAUAGCAAUAUAGUGGCUGGAGGAGCGGCGAAAGGGUGAGGAACACGUGGAUACCUACCCUCAGGCUCGGGAUAGCGGCUGGAAACGGCCGGUAAUACCGAAUAACAUCUCCGGAUCAAAGCUCCGGCACCUGAGGACGGGUCCGCGUCCCAUUAGCUAGUUGGCGGGGUAAUAGCCCACCAAGGCAAAGAUGGGUAGUGGGCGUGAGAGCGCGACCCACCACACUGGGACUGAGACACUGCCCAGACACCUACGGGUGGCUG